This 1131-nucleotide long non-coding RNA is filed under the name Mytilus galloprovincialis (Mediterranean mussel). Lineage: Eukaryota; Metazoa; Mollusca; Bivalvia; Mytilida; Mytilidae. The record is from RNAcentral.
AUUGAAUUGUAUGACUAUCUAUUGGUAAUUGGGAAAUUUUGAAAAAAUGAAAAAUUCAAAUAAUUUGUUUAAUUAUUUCUAGCUUUAAGUUUAAACAUUUAAAUUCUUUCUCCGUUAGCAAAGAAUGAAAAUAACUUUUGAAUUUUGGAAUUUAUUUGUGAAAAAAAUAGUCGAAAACUAUGUCAAAAUCUAUCAAGGUUUAAAUUCAUACACAACAAUGAAAGAGUAAAUAGUCACACAAUGAAAUAGUCUGUUGAAAUUUUUCCUUUAUUCACUCUGCGGAUAUUCACCCUGUUGGGGUUAAAUGCAUGCAUAAUUUUAAUCUGAAGUAGAAACUUUUCAUUGGCCAGUAUAAGGAAUCAAAUAUGAUUAUUUAGAUUUUCUUUAAAUGGAAGGUUUCAUCAUCACACCAUAAAACAAAAUCAAAUCUAUUGCAAUUACUUGCUGUGAAAAAUGGGUUUAGAACGAGACACCUUCAAUAUCUUGUUACAAGCUCAGGGGAAGUAGAAAUUAAGGAUAACGCUUAAUUAUGUCCUUUCAAAAAAGUCAAUGUAAAGUACCUGGUUGGCUGAGGAGUCUAAAUAGCUCAUUGGAUUGAUUGAUUAUUGGUUGCUUAAUGUCCAGUGGAAAAUAUUUCAUGCAUAUUUUUAAGACGAGGAACUAGCUCAUUGAAAGGGAUCAUUAUCAAUAUGGUUGUGGGUCCUAAUCUAGCUCAAGGGAAAUUUCCUCCAUUAUUCAAUUGACUAUAGCUAUGAUUGCUGGUUUUCCUGCCUUAGGCCCAGGGGAUCUCUUUGGAUAAAAAAAAACUGGGGCCAUGAAAAACCUAAGAGUGCUGAAAAGGGCAUUUGACAUCUCAAUCAUCUAUGUGUUUGAAAAAACAUAAAAAAAAUCAAUAUCUCGGAUUUCAUAAUAAUGUUUGAAAGUGAAUAAGGAUUGUGUGUUCUAAAAAAAAAAAAUUCACAAAAGAAGAUUUAUUUACAGAUGAAAGUUUUCUUGGCAUACAUUUUGGGUACAUUUUAAGUGUACAUUUCCCAUAAUGGUCCAACAUAAAAGAAACAUAUAACUGAAAACAAGGACCAAAUAACAAGCACUUGAAAUAUCAGUAUUGAUAUGUAUAUCAGUGGAGUGGCU